UUAGAACUAAUUCUGCGGCCAGGAGCUCCAACUAGCCCUGAUAGAUGAGAUGUCAAGAUGAGCCUUAAAGAAGCAUCUGCAUCCCUUUCUCCAUACUCAGGCAUGUGCAUUUCUUCACAGAAAUCAGUCCCUGUAAAAAAAAAGAGGAUACCAGCUCCAUGAGGGCAUUGAAGGCUUUCAGAGUCGUAAUCCCAAGCAGAGGAGCCCAUGCCACACCACUUUGUAAGAACAUAGUCAAGUCAGAGGACGUGUUAAUCUGGAUCCUAUACUUUGCAAUU
This is a long non-coding RNA of Alligator sinensis (Chinese alligator), 278 nucleotides long. RefSeq lists it as uncharacterized. The transcript is spliced from 3 exons. Lineage: Eukaryota; Metazoa; Chordata; Crocodylia; Alligatoridae. The record is from RefSeq and is a predicted model, not a curated record.